AGAGUUUGAUCAUGGCUCAGGAUGAACGCUAGCGGCAGGCUUAACACAUGCAAGUCGAGGGGCAGCGCGGGAUAGCGAUAUCCUGGCGGCGACCGGCGGAAGGGUGCGUAACGCGUGAGCGACAUGCCCGUUGCCCGGGGACAACCGGUGGAAACGCCGACUAAUCCCCGAUGGGAUACGAUGCUUCAUGGCAUUGUAUUGAAAGUUACGGCGGCGACGGAUUGGCUCGCGUCCGAUUAGCUUGUUGGCGGGGUAACGGCCCACCAAGGCUACGAUCGGUAGGGGUUCUGAGAGGAAGGCCCCCCACAAUGGGACUGAGACACGGCCCAUACUCCUACGGGAGGCAGCAGUGAGGAAUAUUGGUCAAUGGGCGGAAGCCUGAACCAGCCAUGCCGCGUGCGGGAAGGAGGCCCUAUGGGCUGUGAACCGCUUUUGCCUGGGGGCAAUAAGGGCGUCGCGCACGUCCGAUGAGAGUACCAGGCGAAUAAGCAUCGGCUAACUCCGUGCCAGCAGCCGCGGUAAUACGGGGGAUGCGAGCGUUAUCCGGAUUCAUUGGGUUUAAAGGGUGCGUAGGCUGUGCGUCAAGUCGGGGGUGAAAUUCCGGUGCUCAACACCGGGGCUGCCCUUGAUACUGUCGCGCUGGAGUGCGGAUGCCGCCGGAGGAAUGAGUGGUGUAGCGGUGAAAUGCUUAGAUAUCACUCAGAACACCGAUUGCGAAGGCAUCCGGCGAAUCCGUAACUGACGCUGAGGCACGAAAGCGUGGGGAUAGAACAGGAUUAGAUACCCUGGUAUUCCACGCCGUAAACGAUGAUGGCUAACCGCCGGCGACACACUGUCGGUGGCCAAGCGAAAGCGAUAAGCCAUCCACCUGGGGAGUACGUCGGCAACGAUGAAACUCAAAGGAAUUGACGGGGGCCCGCACAAGCGGAGGAACAUGUGGUUUAAUUCGAUGAUACGCGAGGAACCUUACCCGGGCUUGAAUUGCAGAGGAAGGAUUUGGAGACAAUGACGCCCUUCGGGGUCUCUGUGAAGGUGCUGCAUGGUUGUCGUCAGCUCGUGCCGUGAGGUGUCGGCUUAAGUGCCAUAACGAGCGCAACCCCUCUCCUUAGUUGCCAUCAGGUUAAGCUGGGCACUCUGGGGACACUGCCACCGUAAGGUGUGAGGAAGGUGGGGAUGACGUCAAAUCAGCACGGCCCUUACGUCCGGGGCUACACACGUGUUACAAUGGCAGGUACAGAGAGACGGUUGUACGUAAGUACGAUCAAAUCCUUAAAGCCUGUCCCAGUUCGGACUGGGGUCUGCAACCCGACCCCACGAAGCUGGAUUCGCUAGUAAUCGCGCAUUAGCCAUGGCGCGGUGAAUACGUUCCCGGGCCUUGUACACACCGCCCGUCAAGCCAUGAAAGCCGGGGGCGCCUAAAGUCCGUGACCGUAAGGAGCGGCCUAGGGCGAAACUGGUAAUUGGGGCUAAGUCGUAACAAGGUA
Molecule: ribosomal RNA, 1484 nt
Filed under: metagenome
Description: bacterial SSU rRNA
Rfam family: Bacterial small subunit ribosomal RNA
Source: RNAcentral